CCCUUAGAUGUUCUGGGCCGCACGCGCGCUACACUGAUGCAUGCAACGAGUUCUAUCCUUGGCCGGAAGGCCUGGGUAAUCUGUGAACGUGCAUCGUGAUAGGGAUAGAUUAUUGCAAUUAUUAAUCUUGAACGAGGAAUUCCUAGUAAACGCAAGUCAUCAGCUUGCAUUGAUUACGUCCCUGCCCUUUGUACACACCGCCCGUCGCACCUACCGAUCGAAGGUAAUGAUGAGCCCUCAGGAUUGUGGCCUCGUCGCGUCAGCGUCUUGGCUGCGAGAAUCUGUGCAAAUCCCUCCCUUUAGAGGAAGGUGAAGUCGUAACA
Molecule: ribosomal RNA, 323 nt
Filed under: uncultured eukaryote
Lineage: Eukaryota
Description: partial 18S ribosomal RNA
Rfam family: Eukaryotic small subunit ribosomal RNA
Source: RNAcentral